Molecule: ribosomal RNA, 490 nt
Filed under: uncultured bacterium
Lineage: Bacteria
Description: partial 16S ribosomal RNA
Rfam family: Bacterial small subunit ribosomal RNA
Source: RNAcentral
AUUGAACGCUGGCGGCAGGCCUAACACAUGCAAGUCGAACGGUAACAGAAAGCAGCUUGCUGCUUUGCUGACGAGUGGCGGACGGGUGAGUAAUGUCUGGGAAACUGCCUGAUGGAGGGGGAUAACUACUGGAAACGGUAGCUAAUACCGCAUAACGUCGCAAGACCAAAGAGGGGGACCUUCGGGCCUCUUGCCAUCGGAUGUGCCCAGAUGGGAUUAGCUAGUAGGUGGGGUAAAGGCUCACCUAGGCGACGAUCCCUAGCUGGUCUGAGAGGAUGACCAGCCACACUGGAACUGAGACACGGUCCAGACUCCUACGGGAGGCAGCAGUGGGGAAUAUUGCACAAUGGGCGCAAGCCUGAUGCAGCCAUGCCGCGUGUAUGAAGAAGGCCUUCGGGUUGUAAAGUACAUUCAGCGGGGAGGAAGGGAGUAAAGUUAAUACCUUUGCUCAUUGACGUUACCCGCAGAAGAAGCACCGGCUAACUCCGUG